Molecule: ribosomal RNA, 628 nt
Filed under: uncultured bacterium
Lineage: Bacteria
Description: bacterial SSU rRNA
Rfam family: Bacterial small subunit ribosomal RNA
Source: RNAcentral
GUGUAGGCGGAUAUAUAAGUCAGAAGUGAAAUCCAAUAGCUUAACUAUUGAACUGCUUUUGAGACUGUAUAUCUAGAAUGUGGGAGAGGUAGAUGGAAUUUCUGGUGUAGGGGUAAAAUCCGUAGAGAUCAGAAGGAAUACCGAUUGCGAAGGCGAUCUACUGGAACAUUAUUGACGCUGAGACGCGAAAGCGGGGGAGCAAACAGGAUUAGAUACCCUGGUAGUCCACGCCCUAAACGAUGCACACUAGUUGUUGUGAGGCUCGACCUUGCAGUAAUGCAGUUAACACAUUAAGUGUGCCGCCUGGGGAGUACGGUCGCAAGAUUAAAACUCAAAGGAAUAGACGGGGACCCGCACAAGCGGUGGAGCAUGUGGUUUAAUUCGACGAUACACGAAGAACCUUACCUGGACUUGACAUAGUAAGAACUUUCUAGAGAUAGAUUGGUGUCUGCUUGCAGAAACUUAUAUACAGGUGCUGCACGGCUGUCGUCAGCUCGUGUCGUGAGAUGUUGGGUUAAGUCCCGCAACGAGCGCAACCCUCGUCAUUAGUUGCUAACAGUUCGGCUGAGAACUCUAAUGAGACUGCCUACGCAAGUAGGAGGAAGGUGAGGACGACGUCAAGUCAUCA